This is a long non-coding RNA of Frankliniella occidentalis (western flower thrips), 214 nucleotides long. RefSeq lists it as uncharacterized. The transcript is spliced from 2 exons. NCBI's taxonomy places the organism in Eukaryota, Metazoa, Arthropoda, Insecta, Thysanoptera, Thripidae. The record is from RefSeq and is a predicted model, not a curated record.
GCCUGGAUGGAUUUUGAACUUGCAUCUUUGGGACACUGAACGGAACGAGUUUGUCUUCAGUUGUUUUGUUGAUUCUUAAGGUGCUUUGGUACAGCCUAAGGCUUCUUACCAGUGACGGCCUUCUUGGCUGCCGAUGGCUUCUUUCCUGCUGUCUUCUUGGGAGCAAACAGAAAUUCCCUGCAACUACAUUUGAGAUCCCAACAUCUACGAAUUU